GCGUCUUUGGUCCAAUUGGUAGAGGCACUACAUUCAAAAUGUAGGGGUUCCCAGUUCGAAUCUGGGAAGGCGCACCA
This 77-nucleotide transfer RNA is filed under the name Plesiomonas shigelloides. RNAcentral describes it as "tRNA-Leu". It matches the Rfam family "tRNA". Rfam says of the family: Transfer RNA (tRNA) molecules are approximately 80 nucleotides in length. RNAcentral also lists the same sequence under 2 other names. The record is from RNAcentral. Lineage: Bacteria; Pseudomonadati; Pseudomonadota; Gammaproteobacteria; Enterobacterales; Enterobacteriaceae.